This 52-nucleotide microRNA precursor is filed under the name Marmota monax (woodchuck). The record is from RNAcentral. Lineage: Eukaryota; Metazoa; Chordata; Mammalia; Rodentia; Sciuridae.
UUUUUAGUAUAAGUAGGUCCCAUAUAUUGCAUGGGAUCUAUUUAUAUUAAAA